This 580-nucleotide small RNA is filed under the name Pongo abelii (Sumatran orangutan). Its description in RNAcentral is "processed transcript". The record is from RNAcentral. Lineage: Eukaryota; Metazoa; Chordata; Mammalia; Primates; Hominidae.
CGCGCCGGGGCCGCUCCCCCACACUGAGGGACAGCACCACCCAGAACACAGAUGACCUGCUGGUGGCCUCUGCUGAGUGUCCAAGUGAUGAUGAGGACCUGGAGGAGUGUGAGCCCAGUACUGCCAACCCCACAGGGCCUGGGGAGCGGGGCCCGCCGGGCGCAGUGGAGGUGAUCCGGGAGUCCAGCAGCACCACGGGCAUGGUGGUGGGCAUUGUGGCGGCGGCGGCACUCUGCAUCCUCAUCCUCCUCUACGCCAUGUACAAGUACCGCAAUCGUGACGAGGGCUCCUACCAGGUGGACCAGAGCCGGAACUACAUCAGUAACUCGGCCCAGAGCAAUGGGGCGGUGGUGAAAGAGAAGGCCCCGGCUGCCCCCAAGACGCCCAGCAAGGCCAAGAAGAACAAAGACAAGGAGUAUUACGUCUGAGCCCCCGGCACUGCGCCCCACUGCCAGCUGCCCCUCCUGGGAGGGCCCGGGAGGAGGGUGCCACCCUCUCCCUGCCAGGGGCCUGGGGACCCUCUCCCUGGCUGCCUCAGGCUUCUCUUACAAAGAGGAAACGCAAAAAAAGAAAAGGAAAA